This 275-nucleotide ribosomal RNA is filed under the name uncultured Roseomonas sp. Its description in RNAcentral is "partial 16S ribosomal RNA". It matches the Rfam family "Bacterial small subunit ribosomal RNA", at positions 338 to 630 of the family's 1533-position model. The record is from RNAcentral. Lineage: Bacteria; Pseudomonadati; Pseudomonadota; Alphaproteobacteria; Acetobacterales; Roseomonadaceae.
CCUACGGGGGGCUGCAGUGGGGAAUAUUGGACAAUGGGCGAAAGCCUGAUCCAGCAAUGCCGCGUGGGUGAAGAAGGUCUUCGGAUCGUAAAGCCCUUUCGACGGGGACGAUGAUGACGGUACCCGUAGAAGAAGCCCCGGCUAACUUCGUGCCAGCAGCCGCGGUAAUACGAAGGGGGCUAGCGUUGCUCGGAAUUACUGGGCGUAAAGGGCGCGUAGGCGGCGGCCCAAGUCAGGCGUGAAAUUCCUGGGCUCAACCUGGGGACUGCGCUUGA